RNAcentral lists this ribosomal RNA (467 nucleotides) under uncultured bacterium. Its description in RNAcentral is "bacterial SSU rRNA". It matches the Rfam family "Bacterial small subunit ribosomal RNA", at positions 28 to 507 of the family's 1533-position model. The record is from RNAcentral.
GACGAACGCUGGCGGCACGCUUAACACAUGCAAGUCGAACGGAGAUAUUUAGGUUUACUUAGAUAUCUUAGUGGCGGACGGGUGAGUAACACGUGAGCAACCUGCCUUUGAGAGAGGGAUAGCUUCGGGAAACUGAUGGUAAUACCUCAUAACGUACAUUUGCCGCAUGACAGAUGUACCAAAGAUUUAUCACUCAAAGAUGGGCUCGCGUCUGAUUAGAUAGUUGGUGAGGUAACGGCUCACCAAGUCGACGAUCAGUAGCCGAACUGAGAGGUUGAUCGGCCGCAUUGGGACUGAGACACGGCCCAGACUCCUACGGGAGGCAGCAGUGGGGAAUAUUGCGCAAUGGGGGGAACCCUGACGCAGCAACGCCGCGUGCAGGAAGAAGGUCUUCGGAUUGUAAACUGUUGUCGCAAGGGAAGAAGACAGUGACGGUACCUUGUGAGAAAGUCACGGCUAACUACGUG